This 1300-nucleotide ribosomal RNA is filed under the name Limosilactobacillus fermentum. Its description in RNAcentral is "bacterial SSU rRNA". It matches the Rfam family "Bacterial small subunit ribosomal RNA", at positions 99 to 1385 of the family's 1533-position model. Lineage: Bacteria; Bacillati; Bacillota; Bacilli; Lactobacillales; Lactobacillaceae. The record is from RNAcentral.
CGGACGGGUGAGUAACACGUAGGUAACCUGCCCAGAAGCGGGGGACAACAUUUGGAAACAGAUGCUAAUACCGCAUAACAACGUUGUUCGCAUGAACAACGCUUAAAAGAUGGCUUCUCGCUAUCACUUCUGGAUGGACCUGCGGUGCAUUAGCUUGUUGGUGGGGUAACGGCCUACCAAGGCGAUGAUGCAUAGCCGAGUUGAGAGACUGAUCGGCCACAAUGGGACUGAGACACGGCCCAUACUCCUACGGGAGGCAGCAGUAGGGAAUCUUCCACAAUGGGCGCAAGCCUGAUGGAGCAACACCGCGUGAGUGAAGAAGGGUUUCGGCUCGUAAAGCUCUGUUGUUAAAGAAGAACACGUAUGAGAGUAACUGUUCAUACGUUGACGGUAUUUAACCAGAAAGUCACGGCUAACUACGUGCCAGCAGCCGCGGUAAUACGUAGGUGGCAAGCGUUAUCCGGAUUUAUUGGGCGUAAAGAGAGUGCAGGCGGUUUUCUAAGUCUGAUGUGAAAGCCUUCGGCUUAACCGGAGAAGUGCAUCGGAAACUGGAUAACUUGAGUGCAGAAGAGGGUAGUGGAACUCCAUGUGUAGCGGUGGAAUGCGUAGAUAUAUGGAAGAACACCAGUGGCGAAGGCGGCUACCUGGUCUGCAACUGACGCUGAGACUCGAAAGCAUGGGUAGCGAACAGGAUUAGAUACCCUGGUAGUCCAUGCCGUAAACGAUGAGUGCUAGGUGUUGGAGGGUUUCCGCCCUUCAGUGCCGGAGCUAACGCAUUAAGCACUCCGCCUGGGGAGUACGACCGCAAGGUUGAAACUCAAAGGAAUUGACGGGGGCCCGCACAAGCGGUGGAGCAUGUGGUUUAAUUCGAAGCUACGCGAAGAACCUUACCAGGUCUUGACAUCUUGCGCCAACCCUAGAGAUAGGGCGUUUCCUUCGGGAACGCAAUGACAGGUGGUGCAUGGUCGUCGUCAGCUCGUGUCGUGAGAUGUUGGGUUAAGUCCCGCAACGAGCGCAACCCUUGUUACUAGUUGCCAGCAUUAAGUUGGGCACUCUAGUGAGACUGCCGGUGACAAACCGGAGGAAGGUGGGGACGACGUCAGAUCAUCAUGCCCCUUAUGACCUGGGCUACACACGUGCUACAAUGGACGGUACAACGAGUCGCGAACUCGCGAGGGCAAGCAAAUCUCUUAAAACCGUUCUCAGUUCGGACUGCAGGCUGCAACUCGCCUGCACGAAGUCGGAAUCGCUAGUAAUCGCGGAUCAGCAUGCCGCGGUGAAUACGUUCCCGGGCCUUGUA